GUACACUCUUAUCACAAUAACAAUAUAUAAUAUGCACGAUGUGCCUUGGAUGAUUCGAAGCUUAUAAAUUGAAAAUUAUUCUCACUCGACCACUCCUCUCACUUUAGUCCCAACGGAAUUAGUGUGAUAGAUUCUAACACAUCUCAGUCUUUUGGUUAACUUAGCAAUUUCAUGGAUUGAAUAAGGUUUCUUCCCCUUGUUUGUAAUUUACAUCACAUCAUCAGUUACUAAACUAUUGAAGUGUAAUUGUUAGCAGGUUGGUGACGUUAUACUUGUU
Molecule: unclassified non-coding RNA, 277 nt
Filed under: Hevea brasiliensis (rubber tree)
Lineage: Eukaryota; Viridiplantae; Streptophyta; Magnoliopsida; Malpighiales; Euphorbiaceae
Source: RNAcentral